AGUGAACGCUGGCGGUAGGCCUAACACAUGCAAGUCGAACGGCAGCACAGUAAGAGCUUGCUCUUACGGGUGGCGAGUGGCGGACGGGUGAGGAAUACAUCGGAAUCUACUUUUUCGUGGGGGAUAACGUAGGGAAACUUACGCUAAUACCGCAUACGACAUACGGGUGAAAGCAGGGGAUCUUCGUACCUUGCGCGAUUGAAUGUGCCGAUGUCGGAUUAGCUAGUUGGGGGGGUAAAGGCCCACCAAGGCGACGAGCCGUAGCUGGUCUGAGAGGAUGAUCAGCCACACUGGAACUGAGACACGGUCCAGACUCCUACGGGAGGCAGCAGUGGGGAAUAUUGGACAAUGGGCGCAAGCCUGAUCCAGCCAUACCGAGUGGGUGAAGAAGGCCUUCGGGUUGUAAAGCCCUUUUGUUGGGAAAGAAAAGCAGCAGGUUAAUACCCCGCUGUUCUGACGGUACCCAAAGAAUAAGCACCGGCUAACUACGUG
RNAcentral lists this ribosomal RNA (492 nucleotides) under uncultured bacterium. RNAcentral's name for it is "partial 16S ribosomal RNA". It matches the Rfam family "Bacterial small subunit ribosomal RNA", at positions 29 to 507 of the family's 1533-position model. The record is from RNAcentral.